AUGAUAUCCGUGAUUUUGGGAGAUUAUAAUGAGAUUUUACUUUCUUCAGAAAAGGAAGGGGGUGGUGCGAGGCCUAAUGCUAUGAUGAGGGACUUUCGUAAUUGUUUGGGAGAAUGCGGUCUGGAAGACAUGGGCUGUAUUGGUGAUCUGUUUACUUGGAGGAGAGGCGAAAUUAGGGAAAGACUUGAUCGCGGGGUCUGUAAUGUGGAGUGGGCAAACAAAUUUCCUCGGGCUGCAAUUGUAAAUGAAGAACAUAUACACUCUGAUCAUUGGCCUCUCAUCCUCGAUACGGAAUAUUACGACAGAAAUAUUUUUGAACAGCCAAAGAGACGAAUAAAACAGUUUGAAGCUCGAUGGCUGAAAGAAGAGACAGUUGGGGAAAUAGUACGUACAGCCUGGGAUAAAGCGAAGAUGUUAGGUAUUGGACCGUCCCUCCGCUGA
RNAcentral lists this ribosomal RNA (441 nucleotides) under Triticum aestivum (bread wheat). RNAcentral's name for it is "partial small subunit ribosomal RNA". Lineage: Eukaryota; Viridiplantae; Streptophyta; Magnoliopsida; Poales; Poaceae. The record is from RNAcentral.